RNAcentral lists this ribosomal RNA (377 nucleotides) under uncultured bacterium. Its description in RNAcentral is "bacterial SSU rRNA". It matches the Rfam family "Bacterial small subunit ribosomal RNA", at positions 521 to 896 of the family's 1533-position model. The record is from RNAcentral.
UAAUACGUAGGUGGCAAGCGUUACUCGGAAUUACUAGGCGUAAAGCGCAGGUAGGUGGUUUGAUAAGUCCGUAAUGAAAUCUCCCGGCUUAACUGGGAGGGGUUUAGGGAUACUGUCAGGCUUGAGUGUGGGAGAGGUAACUGGAAUUCCUGGUGUAGCGGUGAAAUGCGUAGAGAUCAGGAGGAACACCUAUGGCGAAAGCAGGUUACUGGCCCAAUACUGACGCUGAGCUGCGAAAGCUAGGGGAGCAAACAGGAUUAGAUACCCUGGUAGUCCUAGCCAUAAACGAUGCAGACCAGAGGUGGGGGGUAUCGACCCCCUCCGCCCCGAACCUAACGGAUUAAGUCUGCCGCCUGGGGAGUACGGCCGCAAGGUUG